UAAUUUACAUGAUGAAUUAUUCUCAGUUAUCCCUGUCAGACUAAUAUUGAUGGUGAUUUCUAUAAUUCUGAGAAGUUA
This is a small nucleolar RNA of Daktulosphaira vitifoliae (grape phylloxera), 78 nucleotides long. RefSeq annotates it as small nucleolar RNA R38. The record is from RefSeq and is a predicted model, not a curated record. The transcript has a single exon. Lineage: Eukaryota; Metazoa; Arthropoda; Insecta; Hemiptera; Phylloxeridae.